CAAAGGUGAGCCAGUACAGGAUGGACCCGCGUCUGAUUAGCUAGUUGGUAAGGUAACGGCUUACCAAGGCGACGAUCAGUAGCCGACCUGAGAGGGUGAUCGGCCACAUUGGAACUGAGACACGGUCCAAACUCCUACGGGAGGCAGCAGUGGGGAAUAUUGCACAAUGGGCGAAAGCCUGAUGCAGCAACGCCGCGUGAGUGAUGAAGGCCUUCGGGUCGUAAAACUCUGUCCUCAAGGAAGAUAAUGACGGUACUUGAGGAGGAAGCCCCGGCUAACUACGUGCCAGCAGCCGCGGUAAUACGUAGGGGGCUAGCGUUAUCCGGAUUUACUGGGCGUAAAGGGUGCGUAGGCGGUCUUUCAAGUCAGGAGUGAAAGGCUACGGCUCAACCGUAGUAAGCUCUUGAAACUGGGAGACUUGAGUGCAGGAGAGGAGAGUGGAAUUCCUAGUGUAGCGGUGAAAUGCGUAGAUAUUAGGAGGAACACCAGUUGCGAAGGCGGCUCUCUGGACUGUAACUGACGCUGAGGCACGAAAGCGUGGGGAGCAAACAGGAUUAGAUACCCUGGUAGUCCACGCUGUA
This 581-nucleotide ribosomal RNA is filed under the name uncultured bacterium. RNAcentral describes it as "bacterial SSU rRNA". It matches the Rfam family "Bacterial small subunit ribosomal RNA", at positions 202 to 804 of the family's 1533-position model. The record is from RNAcentral.